CAUCUGUUUAGUAGCGAUUGCAGAUUGCUUCAACAGGUAGAGUAGAAAGUAAAUUCGUUAGGGUUAAAAGGCUGAAGGUUUAAACUUCAGCCUUUUUU
RNAcentral lists this non-coding RNA (98 nucleotides) under Parahaemophilus parainfluenzae. RNAcentral's name for it is "Haemophilus parainfluenzae Haemophilus regulatory RNA responsive to iron". It matches the Rfam family "Haemophilus regulatory RNA responsive to iron". From Rfam's summary of the family: Involved in iron homeostasis in Haemophilus species. Orthologues exist only among other Pasteurellacae. Lineage: Bacteria; Pseudomonadati; Pseudomonadota; Gammaproteobacteria; Pasteurellales; Pasteurellaceae. The record is from RNAcentral.